UGGACAUAUUAUUUCAUGCUGCAUUAAACGGAUGUUUCACUAUCUGGUCUGAGGAUAUGAUGACUCUUAGCCCAAGCUGCACCAUUUUGUAAACCCCCGCCAUUUUGCAAACCCAGGUCAGAGUGGAAAAUUCCCCUAGGGCUCAGGCUGUGAGAAACAUCCUGCCAGGCAAGUCCUAAGCCCAACAGCCUGAUCUCAGGAAAUUCCUCACUUAGCAACAGCUAACCACCCUGCCCACCCCACUUCACAACAAGCCCAGAUCUCUCCCACCCGGACCUAAACUUACCCAGUCUGGAAGCGGGGGCGGGCUCUGGCGCUAGUUGGUGUACCCCUCCGCGGGUGUUUGUUCGGUAAACCUGUGUUGCUGUAGAGCCGCCUCCGUCCGUUUUUUCUCCCGUUCCCGCGCUAACAAUGACAUUAUACCAAAUGUAACUGCAUGCAUCUACAUCUUAAUUACAAUUAAGAAAUAUCUUCCUGGCCGCAUGCAGUGGCUCAUGCCUGUAAUCCCAGCACUUUGGGAGACCGAGGCGGGUGGGUCACGAGGUCAAGAGUUCAAGACCAGCCUGGCCAAGAUGGUGAAACCCUGUCUCUACUAAAAAAAAAAAAAAAGAAAGAAAUAUCUUUUAGCUGUUUACCUACUUCCUGGAAAAAGUAGUAGCUCUCUGUAGCAUUAUGGAGUUUCAGUGGAACCAAAUUUUUGCCAUUAAAAACUGGCAUUAAAUUGAAAUAUAUGUUAUAUGCCUCAGUCAUUUCAAAC
Molecule: long non-coding RNA, 757 nt
Filed under: Pan troglodytes (chimpanzee)
Lineage: Eukaryota; Metazoa; Chordata; Mammalia; Primates; Hominidae
Description: lncRNA (ENSPTRG00000053442.1)
Source: RNAcentral